Molecule: ribosomal RNA, 253 nt
Filed under: uncultured bacterium
Lineage: Bacteria
Description: partial 16S ribosomal RNA
Rfam family: Bacterial small subunit ribosomal RNA
Source: RNAcentral
UACAGAGGGGGCAAGCGUUGUUCGGAAUUACUGGGCGUAAAGGGCGCGUAGACGGCCUUCUAAGUCGAACGUGAAAUCCCCGGGCUCAACCCGGGAACUGCGUCCGAUACCGGAAGGCUUGAAUCCGGGAGAGGGAUGCGGAAUUCCAGGUGUAGCGGUGAAAUGCGUAGAUAUCUGGAGGAACACCGGUGGCGAAGGCGGCAUCCUGGACCGGUAUUGACGCUGAGGCGCGAAAGCCAGGGGAGCAAACGGG